AUGUUCAGCUGGACUAAACUGUUCUAUAGAGGAACAGAGAGAGAGAACAUGUUCAGCUGGACUAAACGGUUCUAUAGAGGAACAGAGAACAUGUUCAGCUGGACUAAACUGUUCUAUAGAGGAACAGAGAGAGAGAACAUGUUCAGCUGGACUAAACUUUCUGUAGAGGAACAGAGAACAUGUUCAGCUGGACUAAACUGUUCUGUAGAGGAACAGAGAGAGAGAACAUGUUCAGCUGGACUAAACUGUUCUAUAGAGGAACAGAGAACAUGUUCAGCUGGACUAAACUGUUCUGUAGAGGAACAGAGAACAUGUUCAGCUGGACUAAACUGUUCUAUAGAGGAACAGAGAGAGAGAAAAUGUUCAGCUGGACUAAACUGUUCUGUAGAGGAACAGAGAACAUGUUCAGCUGGACUAAACGGUUCUAUAGAGGAACAGAGAACAUGUUCAGCUGGACUAAACUGUUCUGUAGAGGAACAGAGAACAUGUUCAGCUGGACUAAACUGUUCUAUAGAGGAACAGAGAGAGAACAUGUUCAGCUGGACUAAACUGUUCUAUAGAGGAACAGAGAACAUGUUCAGCUGGACUAAACUGUUCUGUAGAGGAACAGAGAACAUGUUCAGCUGGACUAAACUGUUCUAUAGAGGAACAGAGAGAGAGAACAUGUUCAGCUGGACUAAACUGUUCUGUAGAGGAACAGAGAACAUGUUCAGCUGGACUAAACUGUUCUGUAGAGGAACAGAGAACAUGUUCAGCUGGACUAACGGUUCUAUAGAGGAACAGAGAACAUGUUCAGCUGGACUAUACUGUUCUAUAGAGGAACAGAGAACAUGUUCAGCUGGACUAAACUGUUCUAUAGAGGAACAGAGAGAGAGAACAUGUUCAGCUGGACUAAACUGUUCUAUAGAGGAACAGAGAACAUGUUCAGCUGGACUAAACUGUUCUGUAGAGGAACAGAGAACAUGUUCAGCUGGACUAAACUGUUCUAUAGAGGAACAGAGAGAGAGAACAUGUUCAGCUGGACUAAACUGUUCUGUAGAGGAACAGAGAACAUGUUCAGCUGGACUAAACUGUUCUGUAGAGGAACAGAGAACAUGUUCUGCUGGACUAAACGGUUCUAUAGAGGAACAGAGAACAUGUUCAGCUGGACUAUACUGUUCUAUAGAGGAACAGAGAACAUGUUCAGCUGGACUAAACUGUUCUAUAGAGGAACAGAGAGAGAGAACAUGUUCAGCUGGACUAAACUGUUCUAUAGAGGAACAGAGAACAUGUUCAGCUGGACUAAACUGUUCUGUAGAGGUACAGAGAACAUGUUCAGCUGGACUAAACUGUUCUAUAGAGGAACAGAGAGAGAGAACAUGUUCAGCUGGACUAAACUGUUCUGUAGAGGAACAGAGAACAUGUUCAGCUGGACAAAACUGUUCUGUAGAGGAACAGAGAACAUGUUCUGCUGGACUAAACGGUUCUGUAGAGGAACAGAGAACAUGUUCAGCUGGACUAAACUGUUUUAUAAGAGGGAACAGAGAACAUGUUCAGCUUGGACUAAACGGUUCUAUAGAGGAACAGAGAACAUGUUCUGCUGGACUAAACUGUUCUGUAAAGGAACAGAGAACAUGUUCAGCUGGACUAAACGGUUCUGUAGAGGAACAGAGAACAUGUUCAGCUGGACUAAACUGUUUUAUAGAGGAACAGAGAACAUGUUCAGCUGGACUAAACGGUUUCUAUAGAGGAACAGAGAACAUGUUCAGCUGGACUAAACUGUUCUAUAGAGGAACAGAGAGAGAACAUGUUCAGCUGGACUAA
Molecule: long non-coding RNA, 1803 nt
Filed under: Oncorhynchus kisutch (coho salmon)
Lineage: Eukaryota; Metazoa; Chordata; Actinopteri; Salmoniformes; Salmonidae
Description: lncRNA (ENSOKIG00005036914.1)
Source: RNAcentral